AGAGUUUGAUCCUGGCUCAGAAUCAACGCUGGCGGCGUGCCUAACACAUGCAAGUCGAACGAGAAAGGGGAGCAAUCCCUGAGUAAAGUGGCGACCGGGUGAGUAACACGUGACUAACCUACCUUGGAGUGGGGGAUAACCUCGGGAAACCGGGGCUAAUACCGCAUAACAUCUUCGGAACGGAAGAGCUGAAGAUCAAAGCAGCAAUGCGCUUUUAGAGGGGGUCGCGGCUGAUUAGCUAGUUGGCGGGGUAAUAGCCCACCAAGGCGAAGAUCGGUAUCCGGCCUGAUAGGGCGCACGGACACACUGGAACUGAAACACGGUCCAGACUCCUACGGGAGGCAGCAGUGGGGAAUUUUGCGCAAUGGGGGAAACCCUGACGCAGCAACGCCGCGUGGAGGAUGAAGUCCCUUGGGACGUAAACUCCUUUCGACCCCGACGAUAAUGACGGUACGGCGUGGA
This 462-nucleotide ribosomal RNA is filed under the name uncultured bacterium. Its description in RNAcentral is "bacterial SSU rRNA". It matches the Rfam family "Bacterial small subunit ribosomal RNA", at positions 8 to 472 of the family's 1533-position model. The record is from RNAcentral.